ACUUCUCCAGAUAAUGUGGUCAUACGAUCACUGUGGGAAGAAGUGCUGCACACAGUGAUCGUAUGACCACAUUACCUGGAGAAGU
Non-coding RNA from Podarcis lilfordi (Lilford's wall lizard), 85 nucleotides. Lineage: Eukaryota; Metazoa; Chordata; Lepidosauria; Squamata; Lacertidae. The record is from the annotation of a GenBank genome assembly.